UACGAAGGGGGCUAGCGUUGUUCGGAAUUACUGGGCGUAAAGCGCGCGCAGGCGGUUCUUCAAGUCAGAGGUGAAAGCCCAGAGCUCAACUCUGGAAUGGCCUUUGAGACUAGAGAACUUGGGUACGGGAGAGGUGAGUGGAAUUCCGAGUGUAGAGGUGAAAUUCGUAGAUAUUCGGAAGAACACCAGUGGCGAAGGCGGCUCACUGGCCCGUUACCGGCGCUCAGGCGCGACAGCGUGGGGAGCAAACAGG
Molecule: ribosomal RNA, 253 nt
Filed under: uncultured bacterium
Lineage: Bacteria
Description: partial 16S ribosomal RNA
Rfam family: Bacterial small subunit ribosomal RNA
Source: RNAcentral